Saccostrea cuccullata (small rock oyster) is the source of this 698-nucleotide long non-coding RNA. RefSeq lists it as uncharacterized. The transcript has 5 exons. The record is from RefSeq and is a predicted model, not a curated record. NCBI's taxonomy places the organism in Eukaryota, Metazoa, Mollusca, Bivalvia, Ostreida, Ostreidae.
ACUAUUGGAGUGGACAUUGUAUCCAGCUACAAAGUCAGCGCAAAUGCAGUUGGUGUUUAAGAAAUCUUUAACCCAAGUAACUUCAAACGCCAGCACCGUGAUUGUGUUAGCAUUCUUAAGAUCGACCCUGAAGUUAAAGGACGAGACGGAGCAUAUACUAUUUAUCCUGACGGUAACGCAAAGAAGAGAGUUUUCUGUGAUAUGACUACCGAGGGUGGUGGAUGGACGGUUAUUCAGCGACGAAUACAAGCGGGAACUACAAAUUUUUACAGAACAUGGAAAGACUAUAAGGCAGGUUUCGGUCAAGCAGGAUCGGAUUAUUGGUUAGGCAACGAUGCAAUUCACGCUCUGACCUCCAGUCCAUCUCAAGAACUAUGGGUGGACCUAGAACAAUUUUCCGGAGCUAAAGCUUAUGCCAGAUACUCGAAUUUUGCCAUUGACAAUGAUAAAAACAUGUUUUAAUUGUCAAUCAGUGGAUAUAGUGGAACUGCAGGCGAUGGACUUUCACCUCAUAAUGGACAUGUCUUUGCUACAAAAGAUAAACCUGAUGGUCCAAUAUGUGCUAUCACCUAUAAAGGUGCUUGGUGGUAUAAUAAAUGCUAUCAAUCGAAUCUCAACGGACCUUAUCACAAAUCUGCUUCCAACACCUACACGGCAAUUGUAUGGAUUCCAUGGAAAGACAAGACAGCCUUGAAAUC